AGGGGCUACGGUGGCCAAGUGGUUAGCGCACUUGCCUUUCACCUCUGAGGCUGCAGGUUCGAAUCUCACUAAGUACCUUCUCAGUGCGACUCGAACCCAGUCCCCAUGUGAAAAGAGUAAAGUCAACGCUCUGCCGAACGCCGUGGGUUUUCCCCGGGUACUCCGGUUUCCUCCCACAGGGAAAAGUUGACAGGGUGGGUUAGGUAAAAAGGGCCCACAGUAAUUGGCAUAUGCUGUUGUGGUGACCCUGCCCUAGUUGGCGAAGCUAAUAAAAAAAAAAUAAAAAAUAAAAAUAUAUAACUCGAUGUCAACACGGGAAAUUUACCGCGCCUUGUAAACACGGAAAUCUUUCUUAUCCUUCGGGCUUUUGACAUUGCUAUAUUA
Paramuricea clavata is the source of this 384-nucleotide non-coding RNA. NCBI's taxonomy places the organism in Eukaryota, Metazoa, Cnidaria, Anthozoa, Malacalcyonacea, Plexauridae. The record is from the annotation of a GenBank genome assembly.